ACGGAAGGCAGCAGUGGGGAAUAUUGGACAAUGGAGGCAACUCUGAUCCAGCGACGCCGCGUGAGUGAAGAAGUAUUUCGGUAUGUAAAGCUCUAUCAGCAGGGAAGAUAAUGACGGUACCUGACUAAGAAGCCCCGGCUAACUACGUGCCAGCAGCCGCGGUAAUACGUAGGGGGCAAGCGUUAUCCGGAUUUACUGGGUGUAAAGGGAGCGUAGGCGGCCAGACAAGUCAGAUGUGAAAGCCCGGGGCUCAACUCCGGUACUGCAUUUGAAACUGCCAGGCUUGAGUGCAGGAGAGGCAAGCGGAAUUCCUAGUGUAGCGGUGAAAUGCGUAGAUAUUAGGAGGAACACCAGUGGCGAAGGCGGCUUACUGGACUGUAACUGACGUUGAGGCUCGAAAGCGUGGGGAGCAAACAGGAUUAGAUACCCUGGUA
Molecule: ribosomal RNA, 434 nt
Filed under: uncultured Clostridium sp.
Lineage: Bacteria; Bacillati; Bacillota; Clostridia; Eubacteriales; Clostridiaceae
Description: partial 16S ribosomal RNA
Rfam family: Bacterial small subunit ribosomal RNA
Source: RNAcentral